RNAcentral lists this ribosomal RNA (396 nucleotides) under uncultured bacterium. RNAcentral describes it as "bacterial SSU rRNA". It matches the Rfam family "Bacterial small subunit ribosomal RNA", at positions 362 to 758 of the family's 1533-position model. The record is from RNAcentral.
UAUUGGGCAAUGGAGGCAACUCUGACCCAGCCAUGCCGCGUGGAGGAUGACGGCCCUCUGGGUUGUAAACUUCUUUUAUAUGCCCCGAAAAAGGGCCUUUCUAGGUCAACUGACGGUACCAUUUGAAUAAGCACCGGCUAACUCCGUGCCAGCAGCCGCGGUAAUACGGAGGGUGCAAGCGUUAUCCGGAUUUACUGGGUUUAAAGGGUGCGUAGGUGGAUUGGUAAGUCAGUGGUGAAAUCUCCGGGCUUAACCCGGAAACUCCCAUUGAUACUAUCAGUCUUGAAUAUUGUGGAGGUCAGCGGAAUAUGUCAUGUAGCGGUGAAACGCAUAGAUAUGACAUAGAACACCAAUUGCGAAGGCAGCGACUACGCAUAUAUGACACGAGGCACGAAA